AAACAAACAUGUGUUGUCUUAUCAUCAGCUGAAUGUUAAUAGCAAGGAGACGUUAUCAACAUUUAAAAUUAACAGAUUUGGUUGGUAGUUUUUCAUUACUUUGACCUCCCCACAUUAUAAUUGGAAGAGUGAUUGUAAUAGCCUAUUAGCUAGAAAGGUGACUCCAAACACAUUUUCACUAAGAGCAUCUGUUUAGCUGGUUAAACAAAGGUUAGCCAUGUGUUGGCAAAAAUGUAUGUCCAAGUCAAGAGAGCUUACCAGCAGCCAGCGGCACUUGCCUCACUGGUAGCCUAUUGACUGGUAGCUUAUUGACUGGUAGCCUAUUGACUGGUAGCUUAUUGACUGGUAGCCUAUUGACUGGUAGCUUAUUGACUGGUAGCUUAUUGACUAGUAUCUUAUUGACUGGUAGCCUAUUGACUGGUAGCCUAUUGACUGGUAGCCUAUUGACUGGUAGUUUAUAGACUGGUAGCCUAUUGACUGGUAGCUUAUUGACUGGUAGCAGAUUGACUGGUAGCUUAUUGACUGGUAGCCUAUUGACUGGUAGCUUAUUGACUGGUAGCCUAUUGAUUGGUAGCCUAUUGACUGGUAGCCUAUUGACUGGUAGCUUAUUGACUGGUAGCCUAUUGACUGGUAGCUUAUUGACUGGUAGCUUAUUGACUGGUAGCUUAUUGACUGGUAGCCUAUUGACUGGUAGCCUAUUGACUGGUAGCUUAUUGACUGGUAGCCUAUUGACUGGUAGCUUAUUGACUGGUAGCUUAUUGACUGGUAGCCUAUUGACUGGUAGCCUAUUGACUGGUAGCUUAUUGACUGGUAGCUUAUUGACUGGUAGCCUAUUGACUGGUAGCCUAUUGACUGGUAGCUUAUUGACUGGUAGCCUAUUGACUGGUAGCUUAUUGACUGGUAGCCUAUUGACUGGUAGCUUAUUGACUGGUAGCCUAUUGACUGGUAGCCUAUUGACUGGUACACACACACAACCCUACCCUACACACACACAACCCUACCCUACACACAACCCAAUCCUACACACAACCCUACCCUACACACAACCCUACCCUACACAUACACAACCCUACCCUACACACAACCCCACCCUACACAUACACAACCCUACCCUACCCUACACACACAACCCUACCCUACACACACACACACACACAACCUUACCCUAUACACACAACCCUACCCUACCCUACAUACAACCAUACCCUUCACACACACAACCCUACCCUACACACACAACCCUACCCUACACACACACAACCCUACCCUUCACACACACAUACAACCCUACCCUACAUACACACACAACCCUACCCUACACAUACACAAUCCUACCCUAUACACAACCCUACCCUACACUUACACAACCCUACCCUACUCACAACCCUACCCUACACGUACACAAACCUACCCUACACACAACCCUACCCUACACAUACACAACCCUACCCUACUCACAACUCUACCCUACACGUACACAAACCUACCCUACACACAACCCUACCCUACACAUACACAACCCUACCCUACACACAACCCUACCCUACACAUACACAACCCUACCCUACACAUAACCCUACCCUACCCUACGCAUACACAACCCUACCCUACACACAACCCUACCCUACCCUACACA
Oncorhynchus mykiss (rainbow trout) is the source of this 1636-nucleotide long non-coding RNA. The record is from Ensembl. Lineage: Eukaryota; Metazoa; Chordata; Actinopteri; Salmoniformes; Salmonidae.